AAGUCGUAACAAGGUCUCCGUAGGUGAACCUGCGGAGGGAUCAUUAACACGUUUUAAAACACGUUUUAACUAACACCAACCAACCACGUGAACUAUUUAACACUCCUGGAAGAGAAAGAAUUCUGUCUCCUCUCACUAAUGAUAAGUUUACAAGCAAUUGUAAACAGUGAGUUUAGACUAACAUUGCAGUUAAGAGCUGACUUGUAAAGACCUUUCACUUUUGGGCUAAAUGCUCCUAUUAUCAUUCGAGCGAAAACAACCCCUUUCACCAUUUCUAUAACUAUUGACUGAUCGUUUUUCUUUGCAACAUAAGAAAAAACCUAAUCAAAUAUCUAAGCACAACUCUUAGCAACGGAUAUCUUGGUUCUC
This 369-nucleotide unclassified non-coding RNA is filed under the name fungal sp. Its description in RNAcentral is "partial internal transcribed spacer region". The stretch from base 1 to 46 matches the Rfam family "Eukaryotic small subunit ribosomal RNA", at positions 1786 to 1831 of the family's 1831-position model. The record is from RNAcentral. RNAcentral also lists the same sequence under 1 other name. Lineage: Eukaryota; Fungi.